CCUACGGGACGCACCAGUGGGGAAUAUUGCACAAUGGGCGGAAGCCUGAUGCAGCGACGCCGCGUGAGGGAUGACGGCCUUCGGGUUGUAAACCUCUUUCAGCAGGGACGAAGCGUAAGUGACGGUACCUGCAGAAGAAGCACCGGCUAACUACGUGCCAGCAGCCGCGGUAAUACGUAGGGUGCGAGCGUUGUCCGGAAUUACUGGGCGUAAAGAGCUCGUAGGCGGUUUGUCACGUCGUCUGUGAAAUCCUAGGGCUUAACCCUGGACGUGCAGGCGAUACGGGCUGACUUGAGUACUACAGGGGAGACUGGAAUUUCUGGUGUAGCGGUGGAAUGCACAGAUAUCAGGAAGAACACCGAUGGCGAAGGCAGGUCUCUGGGUAGUAACUGACGCUGAGGAGCGAAAGCAUGGGUAGCGAACAGGAUUAGAUACCCCCGUAGUC
This 445-nucleotide ribosomal RNA is filed under the name uncultured bacterium. RNAcentral describes it as "bacterial SSU rRNA". It matches the Rfam family "Bacterial small subunit ribosomal RNA", at positions 338 to 795 of the family's 1533-position model. The record is from RNAcentral.